AUGGAUUCCACAAAGGAGGGCAAUAAGAAGGGUUGUUCUGUCGUCAACAAGGUUGUGACCAGAAAGCACACUAUCAGCACUCAUGAGCACACCUAUGGAGUGUGCUUUAAGACACUGCCCCUGGCAUACACAAAGAGAUCUGGAAAUUUUCCAUGAAAGAGCUAGGAACUCGAGAUGUGUGCAUUGAUGCCGGGCUCAACAAAGCUGUCUCAGACAAAGGAGUAAGGAAUAUCCCUCACCCUAUCUGUGUACCACUGUCCAGAAAGCGUAAUGAAGAUGAAGAUUGAUCAAACAAGCUCUGUACAUUGGUUAGCUAUGCAACUGUCACCACUUUCAAAAACCUACAGUCAAUGUGGAUGAAAACUAA
RNAcentral lists this long non-coding RNA (367 nucleotides) under Homo sapiens (human). RNAcentral's name for it is "non-protein coding lnc-FAAP24-2:1". Lineage: Eukaryota; Metazoa; Chordata; Mammalia; Primates; Hominidae. The record is from RNAcentral.